GAAUUUUGGAAAUUGGAAAUUAAAUUCGGAAAUUGGAAUUUUGAAGAAUUAUUUAAAAAUCGAAGUUUUAAAAAUUAAAUUUGAGAAUAUGUUUUUUUUUUUUUUUUUUUAUUCACUUGGUUCAAACUCUUAAUGCAAUUCUUCUACUCCUAAACCAUUUUCCCCACAAAAUUUGCAGCUUCCAAAUUUGUUUCCUAGAAGUAUGAAUUUAAUACUUUCCAACAGCAAUAGAAUCAUAUUGAUUGAAC
Molecule: long non-coding RNA, 248 nt
Filed under: Vitis vinifera (wine grape)
Lineage: Eukaryota; Viridiplantae; Streptophyta; Magnoliopsida; Vitales; Vitaceae
Description: long non-coding RNA (VVIN_LNC001850)
Source: RNAcentral